AUUGAACGCUGGCGGCAUGCCUUACACAUGCAAGUCGAACGGCAGCACGGGAGCAAUCCUGGUGGCGAGUGGCGAACGGGUGAGUAAAGUAUCGGAACGUGCCCAGUCGUGGGGGAUAACGUAGCGAAAGUUACGCUAAUACCGCAUACGUUCUAUGGAUGAAAGCGGGGGAUCGCAAGACCUCGCGCGAUUGGAGCGGCCGAUAUCAGAUUAGGUAGUUGGUGGGGUAAAGGCUCACCAAGCCGACGAUCUGUAGCUGGUCUGAGAGGACGACCAGCCACACUGGGACUGAGACACGGCCCAGACUCCUACGGGAGGCAGCAGUGGGGAAUUUUGGACAAUGGGCGGAAGCCUGAUCCAGCCAUGCCGCGUGCAGGAUGAAGGCCUUCGGGUUGUAAACUGCUUUUGUACGGAACGAAAAGGUUUGGGCUAAUAAGCUGAGCUCAUGACGGUACCGUAAGAAUAAGCACCGGCUAACUACGUGCCAGCCGCCGCCGUAA
Molecule: ribosomal RNA, 500 nt
Filed under: uncultured bacterium
Lineage: Bacteria
Description: partial 16S ribosomal RNA
Rfam family: Bacterial small subunit ribosomal RNA
Source: RNAcentral